UUGACCUCGGAUCAGGUAGGAAUACCCGCUGAACUUAAGCAUAUCAAUAAGCGGAGGAAAAGAAACCAACAGGGAUUCCCCUAGUAACGGCGAGUGAAGCGGGAACAGCUCAAAUUUGAAAUCUGGCCCUCGGGUCCGAGUUGUAAUUUGUAGAGGAUGCUUUUGGUGCGGUGCCUUCCGAGUUCCCUGGAACGGGACGCCUUAGAGGGUGAGAGCCCCGUACGGUUGGACGCCUAGCCUCUGUAAAGCUCCUUCGACGAGUCGAGUAGUUUGGGAAUGCUGCUCUAAAUGGGAGGUAUAUUUCUUCUAAAGCUAAAUACUGGCCAGAGACCGAUAGCGCACAAGUAGAGUGAUCGAAAGAUGAAAAGCACUUUGAAAAGAGGGUUAAAUAGCACGUGAAAUUGUUGAAAGGGAAGCGUUUAUCACCAGACUUUUUCUGGGGGGAUCAUCCGGUGUUCUCACCGGUGCACUUCCCCCAGUUGAGGCCAGCAUCGGUUUUCGGAGGGGGAUAAAAGCUUCGGGAAUGUGACUCCCUCGGGAGUGUUAUAGCCCGUUGCAUAAUACCCUUCUGGGGACCGAGGUUCGCGCAUCUG
RNAcentral lists this ribosomal RNA (593 nucleotides) under Nigrospora oryzae. RNAcentral's name for it is "eukaryotic LSU rRNA". It matches the Rfam family "Eukaryotic large subunit ribosomal RNA", at positions 1 to 603 of the family's 3401-position model. The record is from RNAcentral. Lineage: Eukaryota; Fungi; Ascomycota; Sordariomycetes; Amphisphaeriales; Apiosporaceae.